CCUACGGGGGGCUGUAGUGGGGAAUAUUGGACAAUGGGGGGAACCCUGAUCCAGCCAUGCCGCGUGUGUGAAGAAGGCCCUCGGGUUGUAAAGCACUUUCAGUGAGGAAGAACGCCUGGUGGUUAAUACCCAUCAGGAAAGACAUCACUCACAGAAGAAGCACCGGCUAACUCCGUGCCAGCAGCCGCGGUAAUACGGAGGGUGCGAGCGUUAAUCGGAAUUACUGGGCGUAAAGCGCGCGUAGGUGGCUUGAUAAGCCGGUUGUGAAAGCCCCGGGCUCAACCUGGGAACGGCAUCCGGAACUGUCAAGCUAGAGUGCAGGAGAGGAAGGUAGAAUUCCCGGUGUAGCGGUGAAAUGCGUAGAGAUCGGGAGGAAUACCAGUGGCGAAGGCGGCCUUCUGGACUGACACUGACACUGAGGUGCGAAAGCGUGGGUAGCAAACAGGAUUAGAUACCCCGGUAGUC
Molecule: ribosomal RNA, 465 nt
Filed under: Vreelandella stevensii
Lineage: Bacteria; Pseudomonadati; Pseudomonadota; Gammaproteobacteria; Oceanospirillales; Halomonadaceae
Description: partial 16S ribosomal RNA
Rfam family: Bacterial small subunit ribosomal RNA
Source: RNAcentral